GACGAACGCUGGCGGCGUGCUUAACACAUGCAAGUCGAACGAAAAGAGGGAAAGAGCUUGCUCUUUCCGGAAUUGAGUGGCAAACGGGUGAGUAACACGUAAACAACCUGCCUUCAGGAUGGGGACAACAGACGGAAACGACUGCUAAUACCGAAUAAGUUCCAAGAGCCGCAUGGCCCAUGGAAGAAAAGGUGGCCUCUACCUGUAAGCUAUCGCCUGAAGAGGGGUUUGCGUCUGAUUAGCUGGUUGGAGGGGUAACGGCCCACCAAGGCGACGAUCAGUAGCCGGUCUGAGAGGAGGAACGGCCACACUGGAACUGAGACACGGUCCAGACUCCUACGGGAGGCAGCAGUGGGGAAUCUUCCGCAAUGGGCGAAAGCCUGACGGAGCAACGCCGCGUGAGGGAUGACGGCCUUCGGGUUGUAAAACUCUGUGAUCCGGGACGAAAAGGCAGAGUGCGAAGAACAAACUGCAUUGACGGUACCGGAAAAGCAAGCCACGGCUAACUACGUG
RNAcentral lists this ribosomal RNA (513 nucleotides) under uncultured bacterium. RNAcentral's name for it is "partial 16S ribosomal RNA". It matches the Rfam family "Bacterial small subunit ribosomal RNA", at positions 28 to 507 of the family's 1533-position model. The record is from RNAcentral.